Molecule: non-coding RNA, 541 nt
Organism: Homo sapiens (human)
Lineage: Eukaryota; Metazoa; Chordata; Mammalia; Primates; Hominidae
Source: the annotation of a RefSeq genome assembly
AGGACCUGAAAAACGUGUUCCCACCCAAGGUCGCUGUGUUUGAGCCAUCAGAAGCAGAGAUCUCCCACACCCAAAAGGCCACACUGGUGUGCCUGGCCACAGGCUUCUACCCCGACCACGUGGAGCUGAGCUGGUGGGUGAAUGGGAAGGAGGUGCACAGUGGGGUCAGCACAGACCCGCAGCCCCUCAAGGAGCAGCCCGCCCUCAAUGACUCCAGAUACUGCCUGAGCAGCCGCCUGAGGGUCUCGGCCACCUUCUGGCAGAACCCCCGCAACCACUUCCGCUGUCAAGUCCAGUUCUACGGGCUCUCGGAGAAUGACGAGUGGACCCAGGAUAGGGCCAAACCUGUCACCCAGAUCGUCAGCGCCGAGGCCUGGGGUAGAGCAGACUGUGGCUUCACCUCCGAGUCUUACCAGCAAGGGGUCCUGUCUGCCACCAUCCUCUAUGAGAUCUUGCUAGGGAAGGCCACCUUGUAUGCCGUGCUGGUCAGUGCCCUCGUGCUGAUGGCCAUGGUGUCAAGAGAAAGGAUUCCAGAGGCUAG